GUGCUCGCUUUGGCAGCAUAUAUACUAAAAUUUGGAACGAUACAGAGAAGAUUAGCAUGGUCUCUGUGCAAAUUUGAGACCAACCCAGGCUACAAAGUGAG
Small nuclear RNA from Cavia aperea (Brazilian guinea pig), 101 nucleotides. The record is from Ensembl. NCBI's taxonomy places the organism in Eukaryota, Metazoa, Chordata, Mammalia, Rodentia, Caviidae.